This 552-nucleotide ribosomal RNA is filed under the name uncultured bacterium. RNAcentral's name for it is "bacterial SSU rRNA". It matches the Rfam family "Bacterial small subunit ribosomal RNA", at positions 8 to 545 of the family's 1533-position model. The record is from RNAcentral.
AGAGUUUGAUCCUGGCUCAGGAUGAACGCUAGCGGCAGGCCUAACACAUGCAAGUCGAACGGGUAACAGGGAUUGCUUGCAAUCCGCUGACGAGUGGCGCACGGGUGCGUAACGCGUAUGCAAUCUGCCUAUAACUGAGGGAUAGCCCAGAGAAAUUUGGAUUAAUACCUCAUAAUAUUGUUUUUUGGCAUCAUUAAACAAUUAGAACUUCGGUGGUUAUAGAUGAGCAUGCGUCCUAUUAGCUUGUUGGUAAGGUAACGGCUUACCAAGGCAACGAUAGGUAGGGGGCCUGAAAGGGUGAUCCCCCACACUGGUACUGAGACACGGACCAGACUCCUACGGGAGGCAGCAGUGAGGAAUAUUGCGCAAUGGGAGGGAAACUCUGACGCAGCCAUGCCGCGUGCAGGAAGACGGCCCUACGGGUUGUAAACUGCUUUUAUAUAGGAAGAAACCCCGAAUACGUUUGUAUUCGGCUUUGACGGUACUAUAUGAAUAAGGACCGGCUAACUCCGUGCCAGCAGCCGCGGUAAUACGGAGGGUCCAAGCGUUAUC